Molecule: non-coding RNA, 202 nt
Organism: Pelobates cultripes (western spadefoot toad)
Lineage: Eukaryota; Metazoa; Chordata; Amphibia; Anura; Pelobatidae
Source: the annotation of a GenBank genome assembly
CGCAUGGCCCAAGGUACACUACCUACGACUAAACUAAUGUACACCUGCUGGGAUACUCAUAGAACCGCCCUUUGCUCCGCCAGGCCUUGGUCCAUGGCAACUCCAAUGCGCACCAUUGGGCUGUGCAACGACACGUUCCCAUACAGAGCAUGGGAAAGAUGCAAAAUCACACACCUACACCAGGUAUGCACCUCGCAAGGGC